GCAAACUUGGUCAUUUAGAGGAAGUAAAAGUCGUAACAAGGUUUCCGUAGGUGAACCUGCGGAAGGAUCAUUACAGAGUACCGGGACCCCAGGUCCCUACUCUCAUCCCAUGUUAACUUUUUACCGUUGCUUUGGCGGAUCGGUGGUCCGACUGCCGCCGGCCCUAGGCUGGAGAGCGUCCGCCAGAGGAUCUUUAAACGCUGUUUUAAACAUGCGCUCUGAGUACAACUUAAUUAGAAUCAAAACUUUCAACAACGGAUCUCUUGGUUCUGGCAUCGAUGAAGAACGCAGC
This 292-nucleotide unclassified non-coding RNA is filed under the name uncultured fungus. RNAcentral's name for it is "partial contains small subunit ribosomal RNA, internal transcribed spacer 1, and 5.8S ribosomal RNA". The stretch from base 1 to 73 matches the Rfam family "Eukaryotic small subunit ribosomal RNA", at positions 1759 to 1831 of the family's 1831-position model. The record is from RNAcentral. Lineage: Eukaryota; Fungi.